UGAGGAAUAUUGCACAAUGGACGAAAGUCUGAUGCAGCAACGCCGCGUGGAGGAUGACGGCCCUUGGGUUGUAAACUCCUUUUUUCAGGGAAGAGUGAGGACGGUACCUGAAGAAUAAGUCACGGCUAACUACGUGCCAGCAGCCGCGGUAAUACGUAGGUGGCAAGCGUUAUCCGGAAUUACUGGGCGUAAAGCGCACGCAGGCGGUCUCUUAAGUUUGACGUGAAAGCUCCCGGCUUAACUGGGAGAGGUCGUUGAAUACUGGGGGACUUGAGGCAAUGAGAGGGGUGUAGAAUUCCCGGUGUAGUGGUGGAAUGCGUAGAUAUCGGGGGGAAUACCAGUGGCGAAAGCGGCACCCUAGCGUUGUUCUGACGCUCAUGUGCGAAAGCGUGGGGAGCGAACGGG
RNAcentral lists this ribosomal RNA (405 nucleotides) under uncultured bacterium. Its description in RNAcentral is "bacterial SSU rRNA". It matches the Rfam family "Bacterial small subunit ribosomal RNA", at positions 355 to 776 of the family's 1533-position model. The record is from RNAcentral.